CGAGAAACCCUGUCUCAGAAACAAAACAAAACAAAACAAAAAAGAUUCAAUUCCGUUGUGGUGGGGAAGGCAGAGUAAAGUGUUUCAGUCCAUAGUAGCAGUAUCAUGUGGCAAAAACCAAGCUGUUCACAUCAUGGUCGUCCAGGGAUUAGAGGGUGACCAGGACCAAGGACUAUGCUAUAAUCAUCUAAAGCUUGCCCUUAGCAAUCUGCUUCUUCCAGGUAGGCUCCAUUUUUUCUGAAGUUUCCAUAGCCUUCCAAAAUAGCACCACCAUGCAGAGACCAAACAUUAAAGAUAUCAAUCUGUGGGGGACAUUUCAAAUCACAACAGUAGAAUUUAUCCUGAUGACCUAGCACUUCCCAACCUAAGUGGGAAGGUCUCACCUUCCCCUUAAAGGUUAGAAUUUUAAUAUAUAAAUUUUCUAGGAAUACACUCCAGAGCUAUAAUCAAUAGCAUUAUAUUGAGAAAACUAUAAAGUGGAACUAUAAUAUUAAAAAAGAAAUUACCUAAGCAAAAGUCCAUGUUGUUACAGUUAGUCCUGCAAAUACUAAUAUCCUAGGAGCAAAUAUUAGGCAGUAAGUAUAUAUACAUGUAGUAUGUAUGUAAAAAGUAUAUGUAUAAAUGUGUACCUCUUGUUAUUUUUUCUGAGUAUUCAUGCCCAGAAUUCAUACUGAGGACUGAAGUUUGGGUCUUAAACAUGCUAAGCACAAGUUCUACCACAAGUUCUACAGUGCCACUCCAAGCAGUCAUAUUCAAAGGACAUCAUAGUGUCACCAUCAGUGUUCACAUUCUCAGCUAGCUAGUAUGUUUCUAAACAUUGGCUUCUUGUACAGAUUAUUAUCAAAAUGUUAAUUCACCAGUUUUCUCCAUAACUUUGUUUCAGGAAGUGGUGAACACUUGAUGAACCAUUGGAUAGCAUAAAAAGCAAGCCUUCCAAGAGUAAAGCCCAUUCACUUCUCAUUGCUUUACUUUUGCAGGUAUACUGAAAAAUACUGUGGCUCAGAAUCCCCAGGCCAGAGAACUCACUGCUAUUUCAGAUGAUUAUCCAUCUCCUUCUUGGAAUGUGUAGCUCUAACUCACAGUUCUUAUCCCAGAAGGUGAAAUGAGAUGGUAGAAGUAAUUCAUGUCGAGCCCUGUGAGACUGCAUAGCAUACUUUUCUCAGUGAAUAAAGAAUUGAAAAGAAGAUAUUCAGUCUUUCAUUGAUGAUCACAAAACAACUGUCACAUGCCAGGUGUGUUAGAUGCAUGGCAGUCAGAACAGAGUGAAGGAAAGCAUGGUCCCAGCAAGGUGGAAUCCAGCUCUCUUCUGUUCAGAGGAACAAUGCGCCCAGGCUGCUUCCAACAGAUAAAAGGAAGGGGACUUAAUAGCAGGCCUAGAUUUAAUGAUGGUUAUGACCUUAAGCUGCUUCCUUUGAGGUGCUCUUUAAAGCCAGCUUCUGUGGUCUUGCAAUGGAGACUAGAAACCCGUGGCUCUCCAGGAAUCCUGUAGAUCUUCAUCACCAGAUUGAGAUGACUGAGACACCUAGCCUCAUGGACUAAGCAGGGAAUAUUUCAUCACACUUACCAGCCCACAGGGAGAGGAUAGAUGCAUCAAACUGCUGAAAUCACCAAGGAGAUGAAUUAAGUGCCUGAAGGGACUUAUUCUGCAGAAUCUCCAUGACUGGGGCAACAACAGGAUAUCUAAGAGGAGUUUUGAUGAGGGCCCAGUGGUGAUGGUGUGCCAGAGGCCUUGAACCAGACCAAUGACCCACGCAAUGAACAUUUUGCUGAUGGAACUGAUUGGACAAAAGGGGUACACUACAACUUUCGAUUCUACUAAGAUGAAUGAAGAGGCUCCCAGCUCCAACUUUUCAGAUGUAUUUUUCUUAAAUUCAUUGAGGUGGGAAGAGCCACCCGAAAAGUUCCACCAUGCCAUGAACUGCUGUCCUGGAUAGAACACAAUGGGGAAAGUGUAUGAAGCACAAGCAGUCAGUACCACCUUUUCCUUACUGCGGAUGCAGUACGGCCAACUGCUCCAAGCUCCUGACAUGAGGUACUUUUGGACGAAAAUGUGUUUGUGCUAUGAACCUGACUAAGUUUAGGACAGAAACACAUCUUCAGGUGUGUUUGCCAGAAGAUUUACAGAAACUUGACAUCCUAGGGACCCACCUUGAAUGUGAGCAGUCCAACCCCAUGGCUCCAGGUUCCUGAGACCAAACAAAAAGAAGAAAUCAAGCAGAGCAUCAACAUUUGGUCUGCUCAGCUUCCUGACUCCAGACACCAUGUGAUAGGCUGCCCCAGACUCCUGGAGCUUUGCCUUCAUGGUCAUGACACGCCUUCAAACUACAAGCAAAAACAAACUCUUCCUCAAACUGCUUUUGCUAGGUGUUUUGACACAGCGAUGAGAAAAGGAACCAAUGUGCCAGCUCAGGGACUUUGGUGCACAGGGGCUUUGUGGGGGAAGGCAGAGAGUAUUUGGUGGGUGUGAUAAUCUCUGCUCCUUCUGCUUUUGCUGUGAACCUGAAGCUGCUUUAAAGCUAACAUCUACAGAUCAAGUCACCUGUAUAAAGUUUAUAUCAAUUAUCUGUCUCAUCUCUGAGUCAAGGACAUGAAUUCAGGGAGUCAGAGUGACUACAGAGAAUGGGUGUAGAAGUUUCCAGAACAGCAUGAACCACUGAGGUUGUACUCGGUCUUCACAUGGCCUUAUAGGAUUCCAGCCAGUCCUCAGGGAGGAAUUGACAGUAGAGAUGUUUAAAUGAAUUCAGCCUCAAAUAUAAUAAUCUGGAAUCCUGAAACCGCUAUGUACAGCACUGUGUUCCUCAAUGGGCCAUUCAUAUUUCUGGGUGUGUGACUGCUCAUGGUAGGGCCACUAGGGUUCCUGAGUCUGCCUCUUGAGCUGGAACAAAAGUAUCCGGGCUGGAAGAUGCUGGCUGGAUUUCACAAGCUACUUCUAGGCUAAUAUUUAUGAUUCCUGCUGUCAGUUAACUCAGCAGGGUCACAAGUGCAGCCCAGGAAGAGCAAUGCAACUGGGAGAGGCUCAACAGGAAGAGAAGCCCAAAGAGCAUCACGUAUUCUGAGUAAUCUCACUCAGUUUUAUUCCUGUUGUGUUUGGUUUAUCCGCAAUAAUUGAUGUAUUAAUCACAGAACUAAUUCAGUGUGCAGAAUUGUAAUUUUAAUAAGGCCUCCAUUUAAUCUCUUUUAAAAAGAUUAAUAUAGUAGCAGA
Peromyscus leucopus (white-footed mouse) is the source of this 3202-nucleotide long non-coding RNA. RefSeq lists it as uncharacterized. The record is from RefSeq and is a predicted model, not a curated record. The transcript is spliced from 8 exons. NCBI's taxonomy places the organism in Eukaryota, Metazoa, Chordata, Mammalia, Rodentia, Cricetidae.